Molecule: unclassified non-coding RNA, 303 nt
Filed under: Puccinia novopanici
Lineage: Eukaryota; Fungi; Basidiomycota; Pucciniomycetes; Pucciniales; Pucciniaceae
Source: RNAcentral
UUUUUGAAAUGUUGAAAAAAUAUGCCUAAAUUUUUUUACCAUGUAAAAGUAACCGGGGUGGAUGUACUUGCGUUUGCUGAAUGCCAUACGCUAAAUUUUUUUACCAUGUAAAAUUGGUGAAACAAUACUGUAAAUUUUUUUACCAUGUAAAAUUUGCUGGUGUGGACUUGGAGAAAUUUUAUACUGUAAAUUUUUUUACCUUGUASAUUUUGCUCUACAGGGUUGACUUUUUUUUUUAAUGAACUUCAGGGCUAGUUUCUAGUGUGUUAGCCAAGGACCAUAUUUUUGUGUUACACUUUCAGC